This is a long non-coding RNA of Athalia rosae (coleseed sawfly), 1949 nucleotides long. RefSeq lists it as uncharacterized. The record is from RefSeq and is a predicted model, not a curated record. Lineage: Eukaryota; Metazoa; Arthropoda; Insecta; Hymenoptera; Athaliidae. The transcript has 3 exons.
CCAAUCGUUAAUUUCGAGCAACACUUUCCAUUGCCCCGGGCAAGAUCAAAAACUAUCUUCACCAGAGCGAGCCUCCCAAGCUGAUGUAGGCUGAUGGGGCUUUUCAAAGGUCAAGUCGAUGUAAAUUUUUUAUUGUUAUAUUUUUCAUUUCGAAGAGGGGGAAUCACGAGAAAGCUAAAAUAAUUGGGUACGUUGUUCAGUUUGGGAAAUGUUUUUUUUUUUUAUGUAUUUAUUUUUAUUUUUAUAUACAAUACGGGCCAUUCCAAGCGAGAACGAUCGGUCGAGUUUUAGAUAUUUUUUCAAUUUCGCACACAGAUAGUUUUUGGGGGGUUAGAUUUUUGUACCAAAGGAUUAACCCAUUGUUGCAAAAUCGACCGGAAUAUGCUUGUUUCAAAUUUUUCGGUGCUAUCGACGUGGGUUGAAAGAAAUAAAUAAAAUUUUUUUUUGAAUAAACAAUCAAAGAUGACAUUUUUUUACAACUUUCUAUUUUUAUUUGAAAAGCUUAGAACCUUCCGCGUAAAAUGAGAGUUUUUUGAACCUGAUAGCGUUAUUAUUAUUAGCAGAGUUAUCGAUUUUUUAACUGAACCUUGCUCAAAUUUUCCAUUGCAGAUAUCUCGGUCAAUUUUUCAACAAUGGGUUCAUCCUUUAGUACAAAAAUUUAACUCCUCAAGGACUAUCUAUGUGAAAAAUUGAAAAAAAUAUCUGAAACUCGACUGAUCGUUUUCGCGUGCAAUGGCCCGUAUACAAACGUCGAUCUGGUCGGUCAUAAUAACUCCCAGGGAUGAGAAUGAAUGUAGGGCCAAAAAAAAAAAAAAAGAAAGAAAAUAAUUGUCGAGAGAAAUUCACGACAGUCGAUACAGGAUCGAAUUCCUCGAAGUUACUCACCGUCACCGGGUGGCACAAAGUUUCGAUAAGCCAAACCGCAGAUAAGUUGAGCGGCGGUUUGAUUCCCGACAAAGUUUACGUUCCCUCCUGUGUCGCUGGCAUUCAUCUUGUUCGGGUGAUAUAAAAACAUCCUAUUGAAGUUAUGAGAAUUGUACCGCAUUCUCGUUGGUGAACAGUUUUCACCAACCAAUCAAAGUUAAUCAAAAUGUACGACGGCCAUUGGGUGAAAAUUUGGUUGUAAUACCAUAGUGAUAAACGAAGAACAGAAUGAAAAAAUCAUAGUUUGUUAGAAAUAAAUUCAUUCUACAACAAAUUGCGAAGAAGCAAGUUCGUGUAACCUGCACGCAUCACUAUGAGCUGAAAAAAUGGAAAAUAUCAAACAGACGCUAACGAUCGGUGGUAAUACAAUUUUGAACAAUCUAUAAGCAUAAGAAUAUCGUAAGAAUGCAAAUCUUGACGGAUAAAAAUUUAUAUGAAUCCGCAUCAUUAUGAACGUUACCUGGUCUGAUAGUGGAAAUUUCAAAAUAAAACAAAUUUAGAAAAUAAAAUUACAGACGACGGAUGGGAUUUCAUGCUAUGCGAGCGGGCGGAACUCGUGGUAAAGAGAGAGGAAGAGAAAGAAACGGAGGUGAGAGUGAAGGUCAAGAAAGAAAUAGAGGAAAAAGGAAAGGAAAAGAAUAAGAAUAGAAGAAAGAAUCAAAUAUAUAAGAAAUGAAGGAAAAAGGAGAGCAGAAAAAUAUAAAAAGAAGAAAGAAUAAGAAAUUGAAAAAAAAAUGUUCAGUUAUAAAUUAUCAAAAAAGAUAAAUAAAUAAAAAAAAUUAGAAUGUAGUAAAAAUAAUUAGGAUUAAAUUUAUAACGGUUAUGUGCUGCAUUAUUCACAAUUUUAUAAAUAACAUCUGAAAGAUCAGUUAUAUUCAAAUUUGCCUUUUGAUUGAUCGAUCUGAACUAUGCGAACAUCAAAUGUUGAAUGGAAUAGAAUUCAUUAGGACAAAGCGAGCGCGAAGCCCCUGGUAAAAGCAAAAAACAAAAAUGGCAAAUUUUAAAGGAAAAUUAAUAUGCGGGAU